UGAUCCAGCUUCAACUGCACAAAUGAAGGCUAUAUAUCAGGGGAUGGCAGAGUAAUGAAACAGAAGGAACCAGGGUCCCGGAAUGACUCUGUGGAACAGAGAUGCCCCACCAUCUAGAAUGGGAGAAGACAAACAUCUACAAGCAAAGGAGAGAGGACUCUGAAGGAAACAACCUUGCCAACAUCUUGAUCUUGGACCUCUAGCUGCUAGAACUGUGAGAAAAUAAAUCUGUUGUUUAAGCCAC
Molecule: long non-coding RNA, 244 nt
Organism: Carlito syrichta (Philippine tarsier)
Lineage: Eukaryota; Metazoa; Chordata; Mammalia; Primates; Tarsiidae
Exons: 2
Source: RefSeq, a predicted model, not a curated record